AUUGAACGCUGGCGGCAUGCCUCACACAUGCAAGUCGAACGGUAACAGGUCUUCGGAUGCUGACGAGUGGCGAACGGGUGAGUAAUACAUCGGAACGUGCCUAUUAGUGGGGGAUAACUACUCGAAAGAGUGGCUAAUACCGCAUGAGAUCUACGGAUGAAAGCAGGGGAUCGCAAGACCUUGUGCUACUAGAGCGGCCGAUGGCAGAUUAGGUAGUUGGUGGGAUAAAAGCUUACCAAGCCGAUGAUCUGUAGCUGGUCUGAGAGGACGAUCAGCCACACUGGGACUGAGACACGGCCCAGACUCCUACGGGAGGCAGCAGUGGGGAAUUUUGGACAAUGGGCGAAAGCCUGAUCCAGCAAUGCCGCGUGCAGGAUGAAGGCCUUCGGGUUGUAAACUGCUUUUGUACGGAACGAAAAGCCCUGGGUUAAUACCCUGGGGUCAUGACGGUACCGUAAGAAUAAGCACCGGCUAACUACGUGCCAGCAGCCGCCGUAA
This 498-nucleotide ribosomal RNA is filed under the name uncultured bacterium. Its description in RNAcentral is "partial 16S ribosomal RNA". It matches the Rfam family "Bacterial small subunit ribosomal RNA", at positions 30 to 523 of the family's 1533-position model. The record is from RNAcentral.